Cucumis melo (muskmelon) is the source of this 2487-nucleotide long non-coding RNA. RefSeq lists it as uncharacterized. NCBI's taxonomy places the organism in Eukaryota, Viridiplantae, Streptophyta, Magnoliopsida, Cucurbitales, Cucurbitaceae. The record is from RefSeq and is a predicted model, not a curated record. The transcript has 4 exons.
CUUGAAAUCUCGCGCGUUUCUUUCUCCUCUCCAUUUCCCCGAUCAACUAUGGCUUCAAUAUCUUCUGCAACUGCCAUGUAAUGGAUCGAAAUCAGUUCAACAAUUUAGGUUACUUAAGUUAUAUGAUUACUGCGUUACAGGAAUUCGAACAUCAGAGAUUUUGACGUACCACAGCCUUUUCAUCCUUAAACUCUGAUUCUCCUUGUAUUGCAACGGAACAAAUUGAAACGAUGCGAGUGGUUUUUGAUUAUGGAAACGUGUGUCAUCAAACUUAUAUUAGGCAAUGCCUACAUCCACUGCCAAAGGAGCGACAUCAAGAUUCUCUGUCGAUGAUCAGUCUGACGAAUUUUACAAGAUACAAUAUGGAAGAAGAUGUACUAAGUUGUCCGUUUGAACUUGUAUAUAGCAGAAACCAGUUCUAAUGGCUUUAACAAACUUCUCUGUUUCUUCUUAUUGCAAAACCGUUUUGACCAAUUUUUUAUUAGUUUAGGGUUUUCAUAAGUCAUAUCAAAUCCUAAUUUCCAUGAUAAAUAUCAGUUCUGAAUUGACUGGUGUUUUUCCUUACUCUACAGGAAAAAUGUAAUUCUACGUUACGCAUCGAAGUAAUUCCUUGCACUCUCCUCUUUAUGUAGGGUUAUUAGCUUCCUAAACUGUUAUUUCUAGCGAUGCAUCCAGGAUUUAGUUGCCGGAGAAUGUUCGGGAGAUAAAGUCGGUAUCGUCGGCGCCAAACAUUUUUGCGGGUAGCAGCUUGCAUUGCAGUUUCCACACUCUGUCAAUAUAAUUCGAAGAGGUGUAUUUAUCAAAAACCAGAUCUAACCACUUUGGUGUUGCAGCGCUGUGACCAUGAUUUGUGCUUGACGUGUCAGGUACAUUCUAUUCUUGUUUUUUAGUAAGUGGUGUUUAAAUGUAUGGGGCUGGUCAAGCAGACUUGUAUCGUGGUUUAGACGAAAGAGUGUAAGACUUGACCUUCAUUCUCAGUUUGCAGUUAAGAGGAAGAGCUAGGAAGGACAAUAUAGGUGUAACCUUCUCUCUAUUAGUCCACAAUUUUAUCGUCUUAAUAUGCUGAAUAAAGUUUUUACAAUCAAUUCAGGGGAAUAAUUUUUCUUUUGAAGUAAUCCAACAUAUAUUUUUCCCUCGGGACAUUCGGUAAAAUUAAGAAGAUUGGCAUAGCCCUUGCGCAAGGAUAAGACACAAAUCAAAAUAAUCCAACAUAUAUUCCUUAUUAACCAAAAUAACAAUAAAGAAAAUUCGGUUAUUUUUGUAGUGAAGCAUAUUGAUAAAUGUUGGCUAUAAAGAAGACGUGUCUCCUGUAAUUAUUAGGCUCUGCACUCCAAAGUUACGACAAUUCUUCAAAAGACUUCACCUGUAACCAAGUCCUCUUACAAAUCCUCUAUUGCUUAGAAUUCGCAAUUAACGAUAGUCAAGAAAAAAACUUCCAUUAGGAAAAUUGAUGAUGAAAAAGAUUGAAUACAAUUAAAAAGAACGAUGUUUGUGGAUGCUACUGGGAGCAGUUCCUUUUAUCAGGAAGAUUGAUUUAAUAAGAAGAGUGGAUUGACCAAGUUAAAAGAUUAAAAUUAAUAAUUUAAAAACAUAGAGGAUCCUCAUAGUUAUCUCAGUUGAAAAAAUUCAAACUAAUGUAUAUCAUCCAAUCUUGGUUCUAAGUAUAGCUAAAAUUUAAGCCACGGGCAUUCACAACCUAAAAGAAUAGACAACAUAACCUACAACUUCUAAGCAACUAAAACAACAAUAAAAUCAAGACACGGUUAGAGGGGCUGACAUAAAAUUUAUACCAAUUCAUCCAAUGUAACGAUGAUUCAGUUCUCGGAUGUAGGUUUACUAAAAUCGUUCAAGAAUGGUUUCUAAAAGAUCUCGUAAGUCACUCAACAAAGCUUUCUCAAAUCUCUUCCUUCCAUGGAGACUAAACAGAUAUAUUUCCAUCGCUCGAAAACGCCCAUGAUUCCUGCCAAUUGAAGAAAAGUUGCUGUUUAAUAAAUAGCAGCGGCGCUGUGGCGCUACAAACGGAAAUUUUCACCUGUCUUUUUCGGCAUUCCAUGGCGCUCCUUGCUUGAUAUUUCUGGGUCUCUUACACAAUUUGUGUUAGUUUGGGACUACUUCAACAUUCGAAUGGUGUUUAUUACUCUGCUUGACGGUCACUUGAAUUUAAAACAAGUCAAAUCAACAAUUGACUUGGCUUUCAAUAGCUACAAUUUUUUCUUCCACUUGAAUGUUUAUGGGUUUUAGUUUUGAAAUUUACUAUUUUAGUGGAGUGGAGCAUUUGUUUCCAAGUCAAUAUUCUAUUUUACAGGAGUAUUUGUGUUCAACUCAGUGCUUCUGUUCAAAUAACGUGACCGCAACUACAAACCAUGAAGGUUUUGUUUCUAUUCCAUGACUUUAUGUUGAGUGGAUACUUUCAUUGUUGUUUUGACGUUCUUCAAUAUGCUUGCUGAUAUUUGUUCCAUUCAUUAACUUGCUUAAAAGUUCAUCGAA